This 525-nucleotide long non-coding RNA is filed under the name Saimiri boliviensis boliviensis (Bolivian squirrel monkey). RNAcentral describes it as "lncRNA (ENSSBOG00000036630.1)". The record is from RNAcentral. Lineage: Eukaryota; Metazoa; Chordata; Mammalia; Primates; Cebidae.
GCGCGGCGUCCGCGCCCAGUGGUGGCGGAACGGCGGCAGGCCUGUCGUGAGGGAAAGCGCAUUCCACGUGCUGCGGCCGAAGCCACUCCCCUUGUGUGCAUGCUUCCAGAGGCGACGAAGGAAAGCGUCUACACAUAAGCUCAGGUUCUGGGGUACAUGUGCAGAUCAUGGGAUCGUUGCUUAGGGGACAAAAAUGAAGGUUAUUGAAAAGAAUCAUGCUUGGUGGAAGAAGUAAUUACAUUUUUUUUCAAAUGUCAGAGGAAUAAUGCUUUUAUAUUUCCUGAGGUGACCCAAUUUGCACUACGAUAUGCUCCCUUAAAUGGUCAUCCUUCAACGGAUCUCUGGAAAAAUUCACCUCCUUUUGAAUGCCUUCUUUGUGACUCUUCUCAUUUUGCUUCUCCAAGUGUUUUACACUGAUCAUAGAACAUAAUUGACACUUCAUUAUCUAUUGUCAUUCUGAGAAAAGCAACGAUAGCCCAUAGAUGAUCUGAAAACAGAAUGAAUUGGAACACUUGUGCUUGAAAG